CCUACGGGAGGCAGCAGUGAGGAAUAUUUGUCAAUUUACUAUAUUCUUAACCAUCCAAAUAUCUUUAAUUAUUACUUCCCUAUUUUUUUUCCCCUUCUUUUCUCUUUUCAUCCCCUGUUCCACGUGUGGGAUUUUGUAUGUACCAUAUGAAUAAGGAUCGGCUAACUCCGUGCCAGCAGCCGCGGUAAUACGGAGGAUCCGAGCGUUAUCCGGAUUUAUUGGGUUUAAAGGGAGCGUAGGUGGAUUGUUAAGUCAGUUGUGAAAGUUUGCGGCUCAACCGUAAAAUUGCAGUUGAAACUGGCAGUCUUGAGUACAGUAGAGGUGGGCGGAAUUCGUGGUGUAGCGGUGAAAUGCUUAGAUAUCACGAAGAACUCCGAUUGCGAAGGCAGCUCACUGGACUGCAACUGACACUGAGGCUCGAAAGUGUGGGUAUCAAACAGGAUUAGAUACCCGAGUAGUC
Molecule: ribosomal RNA, 460 nt
Filed under: uncultured bacterium
Lineage: Bacteria
Description: partial 16S ribosomal RNA
Rfam family: Bacterial small subunit ribosomal RNA
Source: RNAcentral